UACGUAGGGUGCGAGCGUUAAUCGGAAUUACUGGGCGUAAAGCGCACGUAGGCGGCUCAGCAAGUCAGGGGUGAAAUCCCGGGGCUCAACCCCGGAACUGCCCUUGAAACUGCUAAGCUAGAAUCUUGGAGAGGCGAGUGGAAUUCCGAGUGUAGAGGUGAAAUUCGUAGAUAUUCGGAAGAACACCAGUGGCGAAGGCGACUCGCUGGACAAGUAUUGACGCUGAGGUGCGAAAGCGUGGGGAGCAAACAGGG
This 254-nucleotide ribosomal RNA is filed under the name uncultured bacterium. RNAcentral's name for it is "partial 16S ribosomal RNA". It matches the Rfam family "Bacterial small subunit ribosomal RNA", at positions 524 to 777 of the family's 1533-position model. The record is from RNAcentral.